This 1605-nucleotide unclassified non-coding RNA is filed under the name Hevea brasiliensis (rubber tree). Lineage: Eukaryota; Viridiplantae; Streptophyta; Magnoliopsida; Malpighiales; Euphorbiaceae. The record is from RNAcentral.
GUAGAUGGCUUUUAUUACACUUUCAUGGUCCUGGUACCAUAUAAAUUUAUAGGAAUCUUCUGUUACAGAAACACCCUUCUUGUGCAUCACAGAUGUAGCAUCAGCAUCCAUGACAUUGCAACCAGCUUGCUUAUUUUGGGCAUUCCUUGAUCUUUCCCUUGCCUCAUCCAUGGCAUUAUUGAAACCCUCAAUAUCAACUCGUAAUCCUCUUUCUUCUGCCAUCAACUGCGUCAAAUCUAAUGGGAAGCCAUAUGUGUCCCACAAGACAAAUGCAUCCUGGCCACUCAAUACCUUCCCCUGAACCUCCUGGGCAGCCUUCUUAAAUUUCUCAAUUCCCUUAAGCAAAGUCUUGCCAAAACUUGCUUCCUCUUCUGCAAUUAUUUCUCUGAUGUAUUCUUCAUUUUGUUUUAGCUCUGGGAAAACAUCACCCAUCACUUUCACAACAACAUUUACAAGCCCAUUAAAAAAUCCUUCUUGAGCAUUCAAGACCUCACUUCCAUACCGAACAGCUCGGCGUAAAAUCCGUCGGAGAACAUACUCACGACCCUCAUUGCCUGGACAAGAACCAUCAGCAAUGGCAAAUGAGAGUGUCCUAAUGUGAUCAGCAACAACCCUGUAGGCCAUAUCAACCUUGUCUACAUCAUCAAGACCAACUUUUCCAGAAUAAGGUCGUGCCCCUGUUGCCAGCUGGAUAGCAUCAAAGAUGGGCACGAACACAUCAGUAUCAUAAUUGCUCAUCUUGUUCUGAAGUACAGAAGUCAAUCUCUCAAAACCCAUUCCUGUGUCAACAUGCUUAGCAGGAAGAGAUUUCAAGGAGCCAUCACUUUCCCUAUUGAACUGAAUAAAGACGAGGUUCCAUAUCUCGAUGCAUGUAGGAUCAUCAUUAUUAACCAAUAGUGCUGCAUCACGAUUACCAACUCUAUCAUAAUGUAUUUCGGUACAAGGGCCACAAGGACCAGUAUCACCCAUCUCCCAAAAAUUAUCUUUACAGCCAAAUGGUAGCACACGUCCAGGUGGCAGAAAUUGAAGCCAUAUAUCUCUUGCUUCAGUAUCAGGAGCAAGACCAGCUUUCUCAUCACCACCAAAAUAGGUAGCAUAGAACCGAUCAGCAGGCAACUUAUACACCUUAGUUAAAAGCUCCCAGGCCCACUCAAUCGCCUCUUUCUUGAAAUAAGCACCAAAUGACCAAUUUCCCAACAUCUCAAAGAAAGUAUGGUGGUAAGUGUCCUUCCCCACAUCAUCAAGAUCAUUAUGUUUACCCCCUGCACGAAUGCACUUUUGGGUAUUGCAUGCACGAGUUAGCUUACUCAAAGCGGUGUUGGGGUCAGCAGUUCCCAAAAAAAUUGGCUUGAAUUGGUUCAUGCCAGCAUUAGCAAAGAGGAGAGUGGGAUCAUUGAGAGGAACGACAGGACUCGAUUUCCAAUGAACGUGAUUUUUAUCCUCAAAGAACUUGAUGAAAGUAUCUCUGACUUUCUUCGCUGGCCACUCGGGCUCCUUUGGAUCUAAGCCCGGCAUGACUGGAAUUCGAGAAGAUGGAGAAGAAGAAGAAGAAGAUGAGAAGGAAGCGAAGAGAGUUGCAAGCGGUUGACUGGGAGAAACCCUAGC